GAUGAACGCUGGCGGCGUGCCUAAUACAUGCCAGUCGAGCGAACAGACGAGGAGCUUGCUCCUCUGACGUUAGCGGCGGACGGGUGAGUAACACGUGGAUAACCUACCUAUAAGACUGGGAUAACUUCGGGAAACCGGAGCUAAUACCGGAUAAUAUAUUGAACCGCAUGGUUCAAUAGUGAAAGACGGUUUUGCUGUCACUUAUAGAUGGAUCCGCGCCGCAUUAGCUAGUUGGUAAGGUAACGGCUUACCAAGGCAACGAUGCGUAGCCGACCUGAGAGGGUGAUCGGCCACACUGGAACUGAGACACGGUCCAGACUCCUACGGGAGGCAGCAGUAGGGAAUCUUCCGCAAUGGGCGAAAGCCUGACGGAGCAACGCCGCGUGAGUGAUGAAGGUCGUCGGAUCGUAAAACUCUGUUAUUAGGGAAGAACAAAUGUGUAAGUAACUAUGCACGUCUUGACGGUACCUAAUCAGAAAGCCACGGCUAACUACGUG
Molecule: ribosomal RNA, 497 nt
Filed under: uncultured bacterium
Lineage: Bacteria
Description: partial 16S ribosomal RNA
Rfam family: Bacterial small subunit ribosomal RNA
Source: RNAcentral